GCUGGAUGUCAUGGCCAUGUACGAAGAAGAACGCAAAAAAAUGCAAAACGAAAUUAAAUU
RNAcentral lists this ribosomal RNA (60 nucleotides) under Elphidium margaritaceum. RNAcentral's name for it is "partial 5.8S ribosomal RNA". The record is from RNAcentral. Lineage: Eukaryota; Foraminifera; Rotaliida; Elphidiidae.